GAUGAAGAACGCAGCGAAAUGCGAUAAGUAGUGUGAAUUGCAGAAUUCAGUGAAUCAUCGAAUCUUUGAACGCACCUUGCGCCCUUUGGCUAUUCCGAAGGGCAUGCCUGUUUGAGUAUCAUGAACACCUCAACUCUCAUGGCUUGCCAUGAUGAGCUUGGACUUUGGGGGUCUUGCUGGCCUGUGGUCAGCUCCUCUCAAAUGAAUUAGCUUGCCAGUGUUUGGUGGCAUCACGGGUGUGAUAACUAUCUACGCUUGUGGUCCCUCCACCAGGUUAACCUUCCAGUGAUGGGGGUUCGCUGGGGCUUAUAAAUGUCUCUCCUCAGUGAGGACAGCUCUUUGAACGUUUGAUCUCAAAUCAGGUAGGACUACCCGCUGAACUUAAGCAUAUCAAUAAGCGGAGGA
RNAcentral lists this unclassified non-coding RNA (405 nucleotides) under soil metagenome. RNAcentral describes it as "partial contains 5.8S ribosomal RNA, internal transcribed spacer 2, and large subunit ribosomal RNA". The stretch from base 1 to 121 matches the Rfam family "5.8S ribosomal RNA", at positions 35 to 154 of the family's 154-position model. The record is from RNAcentral.